This 347-nucleotide ribosomal RNA is filed under the name uncultured bacterium. Its description in RNAcentral is "bacterial SSU rRNA". It matches the Rfam family "Bacterial small subunit ribosomal RNA", at positions 1 to 334 of the family's 1533-position model. The record is from RNAcentral.
CUAGCGACUUCAGAGUUUGAUCCUGGCUCAGGAUGAACGCUGGCGGCGUGCUUAACACAUGCAAGUCGAGCGAAGCACUUUGACGCUUUCGGACAGAUGAGUGACUGAGCGGCGGACGGGUGAGUAACGCGUGGGUAACCUGCCUCACACAGGGGGAUAACAGUUAGAAAUGACUGCUAAUACCGCAUAAGACCACAGCACCGCAUGGUGCAGGGGUAAAAACUCCGGUGGUGUGAGAUGGACCCGCGUCUGAUUAGCUAGUUGGUGAGGUAACGGCUCACCAAGGCGACGAUCAGUAGCCGACCUGAGAGGGUGACCGGCCACAUUGGGACUGAGACACGGCCCAA